UGUCAAAGUAGCAGACACCAACGAAGAAACCUCCUCAUCCAACAAUACAUUCAUCAACAUUCAUCAAAAAGAAAAAAAAAUAUUUUUUUCUAUUUUAUGUUCAUAAGAUUGUCAUAGAUGAGAUACCAUAGUAAAUUAUUAGAUGCAUAAAUAUAAACCAGAGAAAGAAGAAGUUUGAGCAUCACUGGGACUGUGUUUGGCUUUAAAAGUCAGAGUCAACGUCAAAGUCAAAGUGGCAUCACUAACUACAAUAUUACAUGCACAACCUAGUUUUGAAGUUGAAGAUAUAGCAACACAACACAAACAUAAACUCUAAUCAUUAAUAUAAAAAUAUUUCUUUAGAAAGAAAAAAUAAACAAGAAGAAGAGAACAGAGCUGAAUCAAGACCCAGAAAUUGAGAUUUAUUCAUUCAAAAAGAAAAUUCUCGAGAGGGAGGAGAUCCAAAAAAAUCCAACAACGAGCUGACUGAGUGGCUGUGGCACUCGAUUUUUCUCUGCAAAUUGGUCAACCGAGUUUGUCUAAGGUGGUUCAAUUUGUAUUUUCUCUUUUCAUUCUGGAAACUGAAAUACAGCUAUGUGUCUUAGGAAUAAUACUGGGAUGAAUUGCUAUUUUAUUCUCGAUACCCAUGCAAAUUGGUGAAUUUUAACUUGUUGGGUGCUGGAGAAAUUUGUAAUUUUGGGUGGAAACGGCUUUCUGAAUGGUGUAGGAGUCUGUUUUAUUGAGCAAUGCAACCCCAGCAAGGGUUCAGAAUUGAUUUAGCUGAAUUGAAAGCUCAGAUAGUGAAGAAGAUUGGGGUUGAGAGGUCAAAAAGGUAUUUUUAUGAUUUGACUAGGUUUUUAAGUCAGAAGCUCAGUAAAAAUGAGUUUGAUAAGUCAUGUUACCGCUUACUUGGGAGGGAGAAUCUGCCACUGCAUAAUCAGUUGAUACGUUCGAUGUUAAAAAAUGCAUGUCAGGCUAAGACUCCACCACCAGUUUUUGAAGCAGCUCCCGUGAAAUCUUUGAUACAAACUGCGAAAACUUCUCCUGCUAGAGAAGAUGAUGGACAUCAACAUGUGGGGUCACAUCCAAAUACAGAUAAAUGGUCAAAUGGUGUUUUGCCAGUGUCAUCCCCACGAAAGGUUAGGUCUGGAAUUCGGGAUAGAAAACUCAGGGAUAGGCCCAGCCCGCUGGGGCCAAAUGGAAAGAUUGUUGUUUCAUAUCAGUCAGUUGGGAAGGGAGACAAUAGCAUUAAAUUGGGUAUGGACAAUGGGGAUUUGACUCCAUAUGACUAUCAGAGACCAGUGCAGCAUCUUCUAGCAGUUGCCGAGCAGCCUGAAAUUCAAAGAGAAGGUUUGGUGCAUUCCACAGGAAGACCAAAGGUGCCUAGUAAAGAUCAGAGUGAAGGAGCCUUUGUUGAAGAUGGGGAGGAGGUGGAACAAAUUAAUCCCAUUAAUCUCCUCUCUACAAGUUCUUUGCUUGCACCACUUGGGAUCUCAUUUUGCUCAGCUAGUGUAGGUGGGGCCCGCAAAGCUCCUGCGGUGGCUAGCAGUGGCGGCUUCAUUAGCUACUAUGACAGUGGCGGUUUGUAUGAUACUGAGACAUUGAAGAAACGUAUGGAUCAGAUUGCAGCAGUGCAGGGCCUUGGAGACGUUUCCGCAGAAUGUGCUAGCUUGUUGAGUAGCAUGUUGGAUGUCUACUUGAAGAAACUGAUUAGGUCAUGUGUUGAUUUGGUUGGAUCAAGGUCAACAAGUGAACCGAGAAAGCACUGUGCCCACAAGCAGCAGCCUCAAGGCAAGCUUGUUAAUGGUAUGUGGCCAAGCAAUCACUGGCAUAUGCAGAGUACCACUGGGCCCACAAAAGUUUUGCAUGAGCAGGGGCAGCAGCGCUCAAUAUCUCUGCUUCAUUUCAAAGUGGCAAUGGAGCUAAAUCCUCAGCAGCUGGGUGAAGAUUGGCCAUGGCUGCUUGAAAAAAUUUGUAUGCAUUCCUUUGAAGAAUGAGUUCCCUGCAAAAAUUUGUUUAUCAUGAAGCUGUGAUUGGUUCAACGUGUUUACAAGAUGUUGAUAACUGAAGCUCCUAGUUUUGGAUUACUGACAUGUACCGGAUGGAUCAGUCAGAUAAAGCUCUGCCCUUUGCAAGAUGAAAUUAUGGGUUUGAGUGUCAGGAUGCCUGUACACCUGCUGCUGAGCCGGGAUUGAUCAUAUAAUUAUCUUUGAGCAACUGAAGUAUGCUGCUUGAAAAGAAAGUGCUUACAACUGGUUGCUCUGUCGUAAGAUUAGCAAUUUUUGUUGGCUGUUUGCUGCCAUUUCAACAGAUCUCAAGUUUUUCUUGUAAUUUACAGCCAAUGAGGAGGAAAGGUACAAUUGAGAGGCAUGAUUAUGAAGGGCCUAUGUUCGACAUGAGGAUACAUCUGAGGUUUUGUGCUUAUCAAUGUAAGCCCUUGAACUUUGAAGCAAGGGAGGAUGAAUGUAAUUAUAUAAGUACUGUUUAUAUAUAGUAAACCUUAGGCAAUUGUAGCAAUUAUGAGAGAAAACACUGAUCAAUUCAAACAGCGCCACCAGCAGUAAGCGUACUUUGAUUCACAUUUAUUUUUAUUACCAGUGAAUUGAGUGUUCCUUCCAGUGCA
Molecule: RNA transcript, 2602 nt
Organism: Gossypium raimondii (Peruvian cotton)
Lineage: Eukaryota; Viridiplantae; Streptophyta; Magnoliopsida; Malvales; Malvaceae
Exons: 3
Source: RefSeq, a predicted model, not a curated record